This 324-nucleotide ribosomal RNA is filed under the name Triticum aestivum (bread wheat). RNAcentral's name for it is "partial small subunit ribosomal RNA". The record is from RNAcentral. Lineage: Eukaryota; Viridiplantae; Streptophyta; Magnoliopsida; Poales; Poaceae.
AUGAGUGGGCUGUGUGAUUUGAAGCAGAGAGCAAUGUCAUUGAGCAUGGAAAAAAAAGGACUAAGCGUGGUUGAGAAGGCUAAGGCAUCUAGCAUGACCAACUCGGUUGGUUCUAGGGUUUCUUGCAAAACACUAAAAACAAAGCACCCAAGCGUUUCUAAAGAAACAAUUUCUAAAUCGUCUCAUAUCAAUCUUGUGGACCAGAGCUGCAAUGGUAAUGUUGAGGUCUCUUCAAGAGAGGUCAUGUUAGCACCGGAAAGGCAUAUGAAGAGGGGGUACCCAAGCACAUCGCGUGAAAAAGCGCCUUAUGAAGAUUCACAUUAG